Molecule: long non-coding RNA, 2513 nt
Organism: Lingula anatina
Lineage: Eukaryota; Metazoa; Brachiopoda; Lingulata; Lingulida; Lingulidae
Source: RefSeq, a predicted model, not a curated record
GGCUCAUCUUGACAUGAGCUCUCCUAGAAGUGGAGGUAAGAAAGAGGGGUGAAUUGGUUCCAGGUAAAUUGCGCCAUGGCACACCACGUCGGCGCUUUUUAUCUUAACAAAUUUGAAUUUAGAAGCUAUGAAAUGCUCGUUAGAUUUGUCAGGUAAGUUCAACAGUCAUUCAUAUUGUCUUUAUUAUCGUAAACAGUUGGUCUAAUGUCUAUUUUGGAAGAAAACACCAGGCACGAUCGGGAUUCGAACCCGGGACUUUCGCAAACCAUGCGACAGUUCUAACCAACUGAGCUACCGAGCCCAGUCCAACCUUGCUUGUCCUCUACCUGUACCUGUCAAGAAAUGAUCCAGGCUCAUCUUGACAUGAGCUCUCCUAGAAGUGGAGGUAAGAAAGAGGGGUGAAUUGGUUCCAGGUAAAUUGCGCCAUGGCACACCACGUCGGCGCUGUUUAUCUUAACAUUUUUGAUUUCAGAAACUAUGAAAUGCUCGUAAGACAGUCAUUCAUAUUGUCUUUAUUAUCGUAAACAGUUGGUCUAAUGUCUAUUUUGGAGAAGAAAAUACCAGGCUCGACCGGGAUUCGAACCCGGGACUUUCGCAAACCAUGCGACUGCUCUAACCAACUGAGCUACCGAGCCCGGGUCAACCUUGCUUGUCCUCUACCUGUACCUGUCAAGAAAUGAUCCAGGCUCAUCUUGACAUGAGCUCUCCUAGAAGUGGAGGUAAGAAAGAGGGAUGAAUUGGUUCCAGGUAAAUUGCGCCAUGGCACACCACGUCGGCGCUGUUUAUCUUAACAGUUUUGAUUUUAGAAACUAUGAAAUGCUCGUUAGAUUUGGCAGGUAAGUUCAACAGUCAUUCAUAUUGUCUUUAUUAUCGUAAACAGUUGGUCUAAUGUCUAUUUUGGAGAAGAAAACACCAGGCUCGAUCGUGAUUCGAACCCGGGACUUUCGCAAACCAUCCGACUGUUCUAACCAACUGAGCUACCGAGGCUGGGUCCAUCUUGCUUGUCCACUACAGGUACCUGUCAAGAAAUGAUCCAGGCUCAUCUUGACAUGAGCUCUUGUAGAUGUGGAGGUAAGAAAGAGGGGUGAAUUGGUUCCAGGUAAAUUGCGCCAUGGCACACCACGUCGGCGCUGUUUGUCUUAACAGUUUUGAUUUCAGAAACUAUGAAAUGCUUGUUUGAUUUGUCAGAGAUGAAGGUGUAUCUCCUUGAUUAUCAUCAUAUUAGGACAUCUAAACUCAUCAUCACAUCAAGACCACAACUUCUCAGCACAGCAGAGAUGAAGAUAUGUCUGUUGGAUUAUCAUUUCACUGAGGACAGCUUAUUUAUAAACUCAUCAUCACCUACAAUAUCUACAACCUUGUAGCCUUAGUAGAGCGGAGAUGAAGGUGUGUCUUCUGGAUUAUCAUCACACUGAGGACAGCUAAACUAAUCAACACAUCAAGAUCUACAGCAUUGCAGCCUCACCACAGCAGAGAUGAAGGUAUGUCUUUUGGAUUAUCAUCCAACUGAGGACAGCUAAUUUAUAAACUCAUCAUCACCAGCAAGAUCUACAAUGUCACAGCUUCAGCACAGCAGAGAUGAAGGUGUAUUUCCUUGAUUAUCAUCAUACUUAGGACAUCUAAACUGAUCAUCACAUCAAGACCACAACAUCGCAGCCUCAGCACAGCAGAGAUGAAUGUAUGUCUGUUGGAUUAUCAUUUCACUGAGGACAGCUUAUUUAUAAACUCAUCAUCACCUACAAUAUCUACAACCUUGUAGCCUUAGUAGAGCGGAGAUGAAAGUGUGUCUUCUGGAUUAUCAUCACACUGAAGACAGCUAAACUCAUCAUCCCAUUAAGAUCUACAGCAUUGCAGCCUCACCACAGCAGAGAUGAAGGUAUGUCUCUUGGAUUAUCAUCCAACUGAGGACAGCUAAUUUAUAAACUCAUCAUCAUCAGCAGGAUCUACAAUGUCACAGCUUCAGCACAGGUGACCCUUUCCAUACAGCAUGGUGGCUUCUUGGUGAACUGACUCUACCUAUCUUGUAAUGGAUAAUACCUAUGGAAAAAGUAGACAGUGAAAAACAGCAGCAAGAGCAGUGCAUUAUCUCAUCCAUGUGUAGAAUACAUGAUAUGUGGCAAGAUUAAAAACGUCAUAUGAUGUGCAAAGCCUGAUUUUAGAUGUCCAUUUUUCAAGGAGGAAUCUGCAUCUGGUAUUGGUAGUAAGGAGAAAUCUUGAAUGGGUAUAUAUUGUUUCCAGAUGACAGUAAUAGGUAAUUUGUCACCUCUUACACAACCAAACUCAAAUCAUAACAUAAAAUGCUCCAUUUGAUACUGAAUAAUAUUAUUGUAAUAUUGAAAAUUUUGUUUUUUGUAAUUCUCAAUCUUCUAAUAUCAAUUGCCAAUAAACAACGCAGUCAACUGAUACACUUAUCUCAGAUUAUUACAGUUGUGAAGCUUAUUUUGUAUAAAUUUCACAAACAUUGGACUAGAUUUGUCAACAUCAUUCAUUUAAAUAUGUAAAGGUAUGGAAUU